GUUUCUUCGGAAAUGAGUAUGAGUGGCGCACGGGUGAGUAACACGUAGACAACUUGCCUUUAAGUGGGGGACAACCAUUCGAAAGGAUGGCUAAUACCGCAUAAGACCACAUUUUCCACUGGAAAAAGGGGUUAAAGAUUUAUCGCUUAAAGAUAGGUCUGCGUCCGAUUAGCUUGUUGGUAGGGUAAUGGCCUACCAAGGCGAUGAUCGGUAACUGGUCUGAGAGGAUGGCCAGUCACACUGGAACUGAGACACGGUCCAGACUCCUACGGGAGGCAGCAGUAGGGAAUCUUGCGCAAUGGGGGCAACCCUGACGCAGCGACGCCACAUGAGUGAUGAAGGUCUUCGGAUCGUAAAGCUCUGUUUUAGAGGAAUAAAAAAAUGAAGGUACUCUAACAGAAAAGACCGGCUAACUUCGUGCCAGCAGCCGCGGUAAUACGAGGGGUCUUAGCGUUGCUCGGAAUCAUUGGGCGUAAAGCGGGUGUAGAUGGUUAGGUAAGUCAGAAGUGAAAGCCUUGAGCUUAACUCAAGAAGUGCUUUUGAUACUGCUUAACUAGAGUGUAGGAGAGGAUAGUAGAAUUCUUGGUGUAGUGGUGAUAUACGUAGAUAUCAAGAGGAAUACCGGUGGGGAAGCCGGCUAUCUGGCCUAACACUGACAUUCAGACCCGAAAGCGUGGGGAGCAAACAGGAUUAGAUACCCUGGUAGUCCACGCCGUAAA
RNAcentral lists this ribosomal RNA (719 nucleotides) under uncultured bacterium. Its description in RNAcentral is "bacterial SSU rRNA". It matches the Rfam family "Bacterial small subunit ribosomal RNA", at positions 74 to 806 of the family's 1533-position model. The record is from RNAcentral.